This 446-nucleotide ribosomal RNA is filed under the name uncultured Porphyrobacter sp. RNAcentral's name for it is "bacterial SSU rRNA". It matches the Rfam family "Bacterial small subunit ribosomal RNA", at positions 936 to 1382 of the family's 1533-position model. Lineage: Bacteria; Pseudomonadati; Pseudomonadota; Alphaproteobacteria; Sphingomonadales; Erythrobacteraceae. The record is from RNAcentral.
AGCAUGUGGUUUAAUUCGAGGCAACGCGCAGAACCUUACCAGCCUUUGACAUCCUAGGACGACUUCUGGAGACAGAUUUCUUCCCUUCGGGGACCUAGUGACAGGUGCUGCAUGGCUGUCGUCAGCUCGUGUCGUGAGAUGUUGGGUUAAGUCCCGCAACGAGCGCAACCCUCGUCCUUAGUUGCCAUCAUUAAGUUGGGCACUUUAAGGAAACUGCCGGUGAUAAGCCGGAGGAAGGUGGGGAUGACGUCAAGUCCUCAUGGCCCUUACAGGCUGGGCUACACACGUGCUACAAUGGCAUCUACAGUGGGCAGCUAUUCCGCAAGGAUGCGCUAAUCUCCAAAAGAUGUCUCAGUUCGGAUUGUCCUCUGCAACUCGAGGGCAUGAAGGCGGAAUCGCUAGUAAUCGCGGAUCAGCAUGCCGCGGUGAAUACGUUCCCAGGCCUU